GAUGAACGCUGGCGGCGUGCCUAAUACAUGCAAGUCGAGCGAACGGACGAGAAGCUUGCUUCUCUGAUGUUAGCGGCGGACGGGUGAGUAACACGUGGAUAACCUACCUAUAAGACUGGGAUAACUUCGGGAAACCGGAGCUAAUACCGGAUAAUAUUUUGAACCGCAUGGUUCAAAAGUGAAAGACGGUCUUUCUGUCACUUAUAGAUGUAUCCGCGCUGCAUUAGCUAGUUGGUAAGGUAACGGCUUACCAAGGCAACGAUGCAUAGCCGACCUGAGAGGGUGAUCGGCCAAACUGGAACUGAGACACGGUCCAGACUCCUACGGGAGGCAGCAGUAGGGAAUAUUCCGCAAUGGGCGAAAGCCUGACGGAGCAACGCCGCGUGAGUGAUGAAGGUCUUCGGAUCGUAAAACUCUGUUAUUAGGGAAGAACAAAUGUGUAAGUAACUGUGCACAUAUUGACGGUACCUAAUCAGAAAGCAACGGCUAACUACGUG
RNAcentral lists this ribosomal RNA (497 nucleotides) under uncultured bacterium. RNAcentral describes it as "partial 16S ribosomal RNA". It matches the Rfam family "Bacterial small subunit ribosomal RNA", at positions 28 to 507 of the family's 1533-position model. The record is from RNAcentral.